RNAcentral lists this ribosomal RNA (228 nucleotides) under uncultured bacterium. Its description in RNAcentral is "partial 16S ribosomal RNA". It matches the Rfam family "Bacterial small subunit ribosomal RNA", at positions 568 to 795 of the family's 1533-position model. The record is from RNAcentral.
UGCGUAGGCGGAUCAAUAAGUCAGUGGUGAAAUCUCUCGGCUCAACCGGGAAACUGCCAUUGAUACUGUUGAUCUUGAGUUCGGUUGAGGUAGGCGGGAUGUGUAAUGUAGCGGUGAAAUGCUUAGAUAUUACACAGAACACCAAUUGCGUAGGCAGCUUACUAGACCGACACUGACGCUGAGGCACGAAAGCGUGGGGAGCGAACAGGAUUAGAUACCCUGGUAGUC